Long non-coding RNA from Talpa occidentalis (Iberian mole), 4294 nucleotides. RefSeq lists it as uncharacterized. The transcript has 7 exons. The record is from RefSeq and is a predicted model, not a curated record. NCBI's taxonomy places the organism in Eukaryota, Metazoa, Chordata, Mammalia, Eulipotyphla, Talpidae.
AUGAGGAAAGCGAAAUAGAGUCUGUGAACUCUGGAGAAGGGGAAACAGCUUGCGGUGAGACCAGGGGGAUUCUGGAGGCAAGCCAAGGCAGAACAUGCCUGCCAAGUCCUACCUCAAACCCACAAAAAAAGAGACCUAGGAUUUCUUGGAGUUUUCUUUUACUCUGUUGUCUCCAAGCAGAAGUUCCAUUAUUCAGAGCAUUUCUCGGCGCUGAUCUAGUUUGCACAUCAACUCUGAGGCAAUUCAGUAACCAAGCCCCAAGACCAGAUGGUGAACCCCAGCGGGUGGUGUGAGCUCUAACUGUAAUGCCCACCCCUUAUUUUUGUUGGCACUGCUCUACCCCCACCCCCAGACAGAAAGGAUUUGGCUUUCUCCCUGGUAACCACCUGAGUGGGAUUCUCUCUAUAGGGGAGCAGCGAGAAGAAUGAUGUUUGUGGAUCCCCCUUUCCAUUCAGGCGUCUGCUUCUAAUCACGCUAUUGAGGGGGUGCUUUCCCUGACCCCCACAGUUAACACUCACUAUCAAUCUCUGUGCUCUCACCUGGCUUUGUCUUUACUGCCUGGCACCCUCUCCAGAAUAGGAGCCCCCUGCUCUCCCAGGUGGAGUUUGCCUAAUUCACUCACUGCUGUAGCCCCAGUGCCUGUGACAUUUGUGGGACACGGAAAAUAUUUGUGAAAUGAAAAAGGAGCCUCUAUGAAUGCCAGCCCCUGUCCACAUGCUGUACAUUUAACACACAGGUAAGUGGUAACCUGGCCCUUCUGCAGGCGAGGAAACUGAGGAAUAAUGAGGAUAAGCAACGGCAAGCUCUGGCUUAUAGAUGGAGAUUGAAAUCACCUUGGAAGAAACUAUGCAGCAAGAAGGGGAGGGAGACUCACCUGAGCUUUAAGGUCAUUGAACACUUAAUUGCUGGGAAGCCAAUGAGGUGACAGCAGAGAAGCAGGAAAGGGCUGUCAUGGAGAAGGGGAAGGAAUCCACGGCCUCCCUGGAGCCCAGGAAGAAAACCCAGUGGGAAGGCACCUGAGUGGGAUUCAUUUUGAUGGAGGCCAAGAAGCUGAGGUCAGAGGCCUUUUGAGCAGGACGGCGGGGAUCAGUGAGAGCUGGCGGAGGCCUGGGCCGGAGGGAGGGCUGCAGGAGCAGAGAGCUGUGGGCCCCAGACUGGGUGCGCAGGCCAAGUCUAGCUGAGACCUGGUUCUGGAAAACUUCUUGGGAACACAUGCCUGCACACUGACCCGCUCCCCGCUCUGGCUGAAUCAUGCCCCAGCCCUCAGCACACACAGUUCAUAGACGCAAGUCCUAACCCCCAGUAUCUCAGAAUGUGACGGCAUUUGGGGAGGGGGCCUUUAAAACAACAGUUACGUCAAAUGAGUUCACCAGGGUGAGCCCCGAUCCAACACAACUGGUGUCCUUGUAAGAAGGUGUCAGGACACAGCACAGAGGGGAGAGCACGGAACACCACACAGCAAAGGUGGCGUCUGCAGGCCAGAAGCAGAGGCCCCAGGAGAUGCCAGCCCUGCUCACCCCCGGGUGUUGGACUUCCAGCCUCCUGAACGCUGAGAAAAUAAGCUUGAAUGGGCGCACAGCACUAGGAUAGGUAGUAAAGACUCGACUUCAAGCAGUCCAUGGGUGAUCAACGUUCAGAAACCAAUUUAAUCAUCAGAAAAACACAGGCUAAGGGAAGACUAAUACUAAUACCUAGACAGCGUGUCUCAAGACUGCCAAAGUCGCGAAGAACAAGGAAAGCUGUGGAACUGCCAUAGAACAGAGCAGACUAUGGGCCAUGGGCACUGAAUGCAACAUGGCACCUUGGAUUGGAUGUCUUGGGUCAGGAAGAGACCAUGGAAAAAGGGGUAGACCUUUGCCAACCAGUGCUGGGCAACCCUAAAAGGAUGAAAAGUGACUUCUUCCACCAGCCUGGGCAGAUGAUUCUUCUUGAAGCCACAGUAACCACUGCAGUCAAGAUAUGGAACAUCUUUAUGAGCCACAAGUUGUCUCGUGCCAUUGAAGAGUAAGUUGCAGAGCGCAGCUAUGAAGCCUGGACAUUGUAUGUAAAAUAAACACAAGAAGAUUCCAAAAAGGGGAAUGAAAAAGGUCAGACCAACUCAGAAUCUCAGGGCCCAAGGAAUGACAUAUUGGUGUGUUUCAGUGGGAUUUCUUGGUCUCAUACAUAAUCUGGACUUGGAAUUGGCAACCUAAAUGCCUAAAAUGGCAACUGAAAAUCCCAACAGGCACAUAAAAAAAAAAACCUCUAAAAAAGCCUUCUCACUCUAGGCAAAAGACCAGGAAAAAUUGGUAGUGUAGCAACAUGCCCUAGCACCCCACUGGGGUGGUGUCUGAAGACACCAAGCAGGAAACUGCAACUGGCCCACGUGUACCACCAUCCUGUGAAGUGUCAGUGGAGGCCAGGAGGGGGACAGGACUCCUACCUUUGAGCAGCAGUAACAAGGAGCCACAUGUCCCAUAGGGGUUAGUGGAGACCAAGCAGGGAACCUGGAAAGCCAGCUCCACCUGAAGUAGUGAAGUGACAGCCCCCUUCCCUUGCCUAGCAGUGCCACAGCAAGCUGCUUAAAUAGGAGGUUUAAAUAAGAUCCAGAAUCUCAUAACAUAAUAUGAAAAAAUACAAUCAAAAACUUUCCAUCAUACCAAACAACAAGCUGCAAGGACUAACACCCUUGUAACAAAAAAGGUCGAAAGCCUCAACAAAGGAAAAAAAAUUUCUGAGUCAGGAUACAUGAGAAUAAAUGAAUGCUUCAGAACUGAAAAAAUACAAUGCUAAACUUUUAGAAUAACCUAGUGCAUGGGUUUAAUAGCAGAAUGGAGAGGUCAGAGGAAAGAAUCAGUGAACUGGUAGAUAAAAAAGAGAGAUUACAAAAUCUGAACAGGGAGAAAAUGCAUUGCACAUCAGUGAACAAGAGUCAGCAAGAUGGCAGCAGAGUCAGGACCCUGGGCUCACAUCUUCCAGAUACUCACUGUAAAACAAAGCCAACAACAACAACAAAAACCCCAAAGGAAAAACAGAUGAUGACAGCACACACUAGAGCUUUGGUCUGCGUGGAGAGGAGUAGGAAAAACUUUUCGUUUACAAGGAUAACAGGACACUAAACUCACAAGACGGAGGAGAGGCUGCUGUGCAGAACCCUCUACAGUUAUAGACUCGGGCACAUGCCAACACUGCCCAGCACUGCCCUGGAUAAGGGGGUGCUCCAGCAGACAUCUAGGAUGGAAGAAGCACUGUUGGAGAGAUGCAGGGGUAGGGGUACAGAAUGAGGACCACUGAAUUGAGCUGAGGCUCUGACAGAUGUAGCUUGGAUUAGGUCAGACCAACUGGGUUUCCUUCUGGAAGAGGCUACUACUCAAAGUUCGGGCUGACAUAUUGAAAAUGCCUACCACUUUCCACCCCAGGGCUAAAGCCAAAAUAAAGAACUGUUUGAAGAAACUAGAGCUCCAGUACCCACUAAUUAUCAGGAGCAAACACCCCAGGAUUAUACUCUGUGCUGGAAAUGAAAAGAGGACACCCCCCAGCCUGUGACCACCUAGCAACUAUAAUCUGUGUCCCGUGCUUCAUCUCGUACUUAAAAACCACCUAGAGUAGAAGUGGACACAAGACUAAAUAAGAGACAUUAAAUCUGAGGAGCUGAUCUAGGGGAGGGGAUCUCUGUGGAUCCCACCCCACAACUGCGGCACCCACUGUACAGCAGGAAGUUCAAAUUCCUGGAUCUGCUGGAGGUGAUGCUUGGGUGCCAUACAGCCCAUACUCUUCUUUAACUAUUGCCUCUCACUGGUACUAGUCCUCAGAUUACUUCAACAGGUGCAAACAACAGUCCAAAAAUCUACCUCUAUUAAAACCCAUUAAAAAUUUACAAUGAAGAGAUAGAAGAACACAUCACAAAUGCCAGAACAAAAAUAAUCACUGAAAGGAGCCCUCGCUCAGCAGUGUUGAAGAGCAAAACAGAAUAGGAAUUCAGGGCAACAGUCUGAGAAUGCUUACCGAACUCAGAAAAAAAAUGGAGGAUAUAAAACAACCACAGAAUAAAGAUAAGGAAUGAUAUGAGACAGCUAUAAUUAGAAAUAAUGGAACCAAGAAACACUAUGGCUAAUUAAAAAAAAAAAUGCAGUUGAGAGCAGAAGACAGCAGACAGCAGAAGCAUGGGGAGAAUAAAGGAGCUUGAAAAUGCAAUCUUGGAGAACAUAUGAAUGUAAUAUAGAGGGAAAACAAGAAUAAAAAAUUGAAACUAGUGUAAGAGGCCUCGGGGAUGACUUACAGUGAAAUAACAUCCAUAUCAUAGGGUUCCAAGAAG